Molecule: ribosomal RNA, 526 nt
Filed under: uncultured bacterium
Lineage: Bacteria
Description: bacterial SSU rRNA
Rfam family: Bacterial small subunit ribosomal RNA
Source: RNAcentral
UGGGGAAUAUUGGACAAUGGGGGCAACCCUGAUCCAGCAAUUCUGUGUGCACGAAGAAGGUUUUCGGAUUGUAAAGUGCUUUCAGCAGGGAAGAAGAAAGUGACGGUACCUGCAGAAGAAGCGACGGCUAAAUACGUGCCAGCAGCCGCGGUAAUACGUAUGUCGCAAGCGUUAUCCGGAAUUAUUGGGCAUAAAGGGCAUCUAGGCGGCCCUGUAAGUCUAGGGUGAAAACCUGCGGCUCAACCGCAGGCCUGCCCCGGAAACUACAAGGCUAGAGUAUCGGAGAGGUGGACGGAACUGCACGAGUAGAGGUGAAAUUCGUAGAUAUGUGCAGGAAUGCCGAUGAUGAAGAUAGUUCACUGGACGGUAACUGACGCUGAAGUGCGAAAGCUAGGGGAGCAAACAGGAUUAGAUACCCUGGUAGUCCUAGCUGUAAACGAUGAUUACUGGGUGUGGGCAUGAAGAGUGUCCGUGCCGAAGCAAAUGCGAUAAGUAAUCCGCCUGGGGAGUACNNNNAGCAAGGCUG